RNAcentral lists this long non-coding RNA (313 nucleotides) under Phasianus colchicus (ring-necked pheasant). RNAcentral describes it as "lncRNA (ENSPCLG00000007918.1)". Lineage: Eukaryota; Metazoa; Chordata; Aves; Galliformes; Phasianidae. The record is from RNAcentral.
UUGCUUUUUUUUCUCCAUGUGGCAGAGGGUCUCAUUUUUUGCUCAUCGUCAGCCAACCCUAGCUAACAAGUUGGAAAUGAGAGAGAAAUUAUUUUUGCUGGUUCCAGCCAGAGAUAUGCAAAAAGCUUGUAAUGAAACUGCAAGCCAAGUGAAAACAGAGCAACAAGAUAUUGCAUGUAGUAGAGAGUGGCUCCUGCUUCAAGUAGAAGAAAAAGAAGAGAGGGCAACCUCCUGGAAGCAGAUUGGGUCUUGUAUGCUGAGGGAACCCAAAGGAAGCAUCUUCAUGCUCAGUUGUGUUACUGCUGCCAUGUAG